GACGAACGCUGGCGGCGUGCUUAACACAUGCAAGUCGAACGGAAAGGCCUGCUUUCCCUUGUGGAUUGCGGGUACUCGAGUGGCGAACGGGUGAGUAACACGUGAGUGAUCUGCCCCCAACUUGGGUAUAAGCCUGGGAAACUGGGUCUAAUUCCCGAUAGGACUGCAGGGUGGUGCCUGUGGUGGAAAACGAUUUUCUAGUGGUUGGGGAUGAGCUCGCGGCCUAUCAGCUUGUUGGUGGGGUAAUGGCCUACCAAGGCGGCGACGGGUAGCCGGCCUGAGAGGGUGGACGGCCACAUUGGGACUGAGAUCCGGCCCAGACUCCUACGGGAGGCAGCAGUGGGGAAUAUUGCACAAUGGGCGGAAGCCUGAUGCAGCGACGCCGCGUGGGGGAUGACGGCCUUCGGGGUGUAAACUCCUUUCGACCGCGAGGAAGCCACCUGGUGGGAAGGGUGGUGACGGUAGUGGUAGAAGAAGCACCGGCUAACUACGUGC
Molecule: ribosomal RNA, 495 nt
Filed under: uncultured bacterium
Lineage: Bacteria
Description: partial 16S ribosomal RNA
Rfam family: Bacterial small subunit ribosomal RNA
Source: RNAcentral